This 154-nucleotide ribosomal RNA is filed under the name Polyporales sp. 1 TKPB-2017. RNAcentral's name for it is "5.8S ribosomal RNA". It matches the Rfam family "5.8S ribosomal RNA". Rfam says of the family: 5.8S ribosomal RNA (5.8S rRNA) is a component of the large subunit of the eukaryotic ribosome. It is transcribed by RNA polymerase I as part of the 45S precursor that also contains 18S and 28S rRNA. Lineage: Eukaryota; Fungi; Basidiomycota; Agaricomycetes; Polyporales. The record is from RNAcentral.
AACUUUCAGCAACGGAUCUCUUGGCUCUCGCAUCGAUGAAGAACGCAGCGAAAUGCGAUAAGUAAUGUGAAUUGCAGAAUUCAGUGAAUCAUCGAAUCUUUGAACGCACCUUGCGCUCCUUGGUAUUCCGAGGAGCAUGCCUGUUUGAGUAUCA